RNAcentral lists this ribosomal RNA (227 nucleotides) under uncultured bacterium. RNAcentral's name for it is "partial 16S ribosomal RNA". It matches the Rfam family "Bacterial small subunit ribosomal RNA", at positions 107 to 334 of the family's 1533-position model. The record is from RNAcentral.
UGAGUAACACGUAUCCAACCUGCCGUCUACUUUUGAACAGCCUUCUGAAAGGAAGAUUAAUACAAGAUGGCAUCAUGAGUCCGCAUGUUCACAUGAUUAAAGGUAUUCCGGUAGACGAUGGGGAUGCGUUCCAUUAGAUAGUAGGCGGGGCAACGGCCCACCUAGUCUUCGAUGGAUAGGGGUUCUGAGAGGAAGGUCCCCCACAUUGGAACUGAGACACGGUCCAA